CCUGGCGGCAGUAGCGCGGUGGUCCCACCUGACCCCAUGCCGAACUCAGAAGUGAAACGCCGUAGCGCCGAUGGUAGUGUGGGGUCUCCCCAUGCGAGAGUAGGGAACUG
RNAcentral lists this ribosomal RNA (110 nucleotides) under Escherichia coli. Lineage: Bacteria; Pseudomonadati; Pseudomonadota; Gammaproteobacteria; Enterobacterales; Enterobacteriaceae. RNAcentral also lists the same sequence under 4 other names. The record is from RNAcentral.